AUUGAACGCUGGCGGCAUGCUUUACACAUGCAAGUCGAACGGCAGCACAGGGAGCUUGCUCCCGGGUGGCGAGUGGCGCACGGGUGAGUAAUACAUCGGAACGUGUCCUGUUGUGGGGGAUAACUGCUCGAAAGGGUGGCUAAUACCGCAUGAGACCUGAGGGUGAAAGCGGGGGAUCGCAAGACCUCGCGCAAUUGGAGCGGCCGAUGCCCGAUUAGCUAGUUGGUGAGGUAAAGGCUCACCAAGGCGACGAUCGGUAGCUGGUCUGAGAGGACGACCAGCCACACUGGGACUGAGACACGGCCCAGACUCCUACGGGA
This 320-nucleotide ribosomal RNA is filed under the name uncultured bacterium. Its description in RNAcentral is "bacterial SSU rRNA". It matches the Rfam family "Bacterial small subunit ribosomal RNA", at positions 30 to 346 of the family's 1533-position model. The record is from RNAcentral.